UGGUGCUCUUGUUGAAAUCAUCUAUGUCUCCCUUUUUGUCUUAUACGCACCUCGACAUCUCAAGUUACACACAAUCGUGGUGGUAUCGAUGUUGAACGUCCUUUUCCCAAUCGCAGCGAUUGCGGCCACGAGAAGUGCGUUUAAAGAUGAGAAAACGCGUUCUCAAUCGAUGGGUUUCAUAUGUGCUGGUCUCAACAUUAUAAUGUAUGGUUCUCCUCUUUCUGCUAUGGUGCCAAACGGAGUGGGGUUUGUGUUUGGGACAAUGCAACUCAUACUAUAUGGAAUUUACAGAAACGCCAAACCCGUCGGUUCAAGGAAAGGCUCGAGUGAUAUUGUUGCAGAUGAAGAGAAUAGCCUCACGUCGCGUGUCCCUCUCCUCACUUAAACCAAUUUUUCUUCGUUUUACAACAAGCCACCUUUUAGAUUUUUUUUUCUUUUCUGGCAACUGUUUUUGUUGAUUUGGGUCGUUAUAAAUAUAAAUCUCAUCAUUUAUUGCCAUUAUUGUGGUGUGCUAUGGUUUGUAUUAAAUCUUGUUAUAAAGUAGAGAUGUAAAGGUAGACCACAACCCGUAGAUUAUGUCCAAAUAGUCCAUUAGCAGGGCGGCUCUGGACACACAUAUACAAACCGCAAUCCACGGUCGAUCAACUGCCAUAUAUUAAAAUAAAACUGAAUCCACAAUGGAUUGGACUAUUUGACGCGGGUUUACUCGCUUAACAUUUUUAAAACUAAGAAUUUUGAUGUAAUAAAAAGAUUGUGAAUAGUUUGAGACACAUAUGUUUUCUUAAGUAUUUUAUUCUCUAUAACUAAGAAAAUUUAAGCCAUUUAAAAUAAAAAGAAGAAAAAAUAGAAAAAAAAACAAGCAUGACCAAAAAAUAUAAUGGAAAUCGCAUUUCAUAUUUGUACAACAUAAAUUAGGUUUUAUACUUCUUUGGAACUUUGGAAUCUAAUUAUUACAACAAACACAAAGAAGUGAAUUUUGUAAUCAAAUAACGAAACACUUUAAUUUUCACUUGUUUUGUAUCAGCUGAUAUAGGCUUAAGGAUGAUCUUUGGCUUUUGUAUCUCAAUUCAUUAUAUAUUAUUGAAUUGGUUAUUCUCAACUUUGUUAAUUUUUUAACACAAGUAUUGGAUGAUAAUUAAAGACAAAUAUAUUGUAUGCAAAAGUUUAACCUGUAAGAGUAUUUGUUUAAACUCUUUCGUUUUUCUACAAUUCUCUUACCGUUUCUUUUUUAAAAUAAACAUUUUUCAAUCUAAUUCACUACAUUUACGGAAAAAAAUGUCACAUUUUUUUUUCAUAAGUAUUAUUCAUUCUAAAAGUGACAUUUAAUAUCUUAUGUAUUUACAUGGUUUUAAGCUUCAUUUUAGUUUUCAUAUUAAUCAUUUGGAUGCAUUUAGUGUAGAUUUAGAUUGCAUUGCAUUAUAUAUGUCUAUAUCAGGCAUUGGAGAUGCUUAUUGGUGACUUUGAAGACAUUUGAGAUGUUUUGAGAUCAAAAUAUAGAUGUUUGUAGCGUAAAUCAUUUUCUGGUGCUAGGUAUCAUAGCAACUUCUAUGUAGCGACUAAGACGCCACAUGAUUCUCCCUAGCGACAUGUGUAGCGACCAGGAGUGGUCGCUACGAGCAGACCAAGACUGAAGCUAAAGACGACCAAGUAUCCUAGCGACGUCAUCUAGUCACUAGGAUGUCCUGCGAGUCAGCAUAGCGACCUCCAUAGCGACAUGGGGGGGUCGAUACAGAUCCUGAAGAGUUGAAAGUCUCGUAGCGACCAGCCUGUAGUGGGAAGACCAAGUCGCUAUAGACGAAAAUACCACUUUUUUAUUGGGUUGACCCAUCUUGUUUUUAGACUUCUAUAAAUAUUUUUUAGACCCAAUACUCAGACUUAUCUUUUUUUCUCUAAACACAAAAUCUAUUUUGCUGAAAGAUUCAAUCUUUAGCUUCUUUUCAUCUUUAUCACUUGUGUUUAUUGGAUUAUCUUGACCAUUAAUAAUUAUUAACCUUCAAUCAUCUAUGUUUUUGGGUUAUUCAUGUCUAUUAGUGAGUAGUUACUUGUUGGAUUCAUUGGUUAGAGUGAUUAAGUGAAGAUCUAGGGUGUUUAGUGUUAGAUAUCUAUCUAUUUUCUUGCUUGUUGAGUGCUCUUAAUGUUAGUUUAGUCUUGAUCUCUCUAAAUAAGAACUCUAGACGUUUCAUAUUCGGAAGAUGUUUAUGAAAUGUUUGAACCAACUCAACUUUUCUCUUUUCUUGCUUAACCAAAGACAUUUGAUGUUAGAGAAGCUUAGAUAGUUAGCAGGGUUUUUCUUAAUGAUUUCUUGAGUGAAUUGAACCAAAGACAUUUGAUGUUUGACUAAUGAAAGUAAAUGAAAAUUUAUAUUGACAAAGAACAUGUUGAUGAUUGUUGUCUAGACUUAAGAAAAUAUGUUGAUUGAUAGCUUGCCACUCUAGAUUGGAUCUUAGCUACUUUAAGUCAAAUGCUUAAUCCUAUGAGUCCUAUUUUCUCUUAUUGAUUGAAAGUUUGAGUUUUGUUUUUGCCUUGCUAGUUACUUAUGACUUGUUUACAUCACUACCUUGAUUGCAUUUAGAUUAAAUUGUACAGCUUGCAUUCUUAGUGAUUGAAAUUAUCUAGAGGUUAGAUUGACCCCUAAAGUACUAUAACUACUUAGGAUUAAACUUAUUCCAUAUCAACAUUCAUAGCAUAAAUCUAUAUAAUUCAUAGCAUGGAAACUACAUAACAUAUUUUGAACCUGCAGGAUGGCCCACAAAACCGCUUAGCUAGGCGGGGCGAGCUUUGACAUAUAUAUACAAACUGCAAUCCGCAGCAGACCAGCCCGCAGUCCGCAUAGUAGUUGAACUUGCUACUGGUUGGGCUACUUGAACGCGGAUUGGCCCGUCUGACGUCUCUAAAUGUCACUUAGAAAACUGUAAGCCAAAAAAAAAAAUCAUUUGGUUUGAAGCUUAGUAGUAACUCUUAUAUAAUCCUACUAACCCCAUCAUUCAGACGUGGAUGUAGAAUCCGUACAGAGUCAUGUCCUCUAGUUUGCAAAACUAAAAACUCAGUUGAAAUAAAUAUCCAACUAGAUUGGGCUAAUAGGCAUGAUGCCUUUGGGAGAUUAGUCAUGCCCUCAAGUUUUUAUACUACCUGGAAACCAGAUGGUGUGAGCUGAUUCUUCUCAUAAGUGUUUAUUUAUUAUAAAGUCCCGGCCACUACAUGACUCUUUAAACCUAUUAUCUUUCUCCUUUCGUUUUGGUAUUUUGACUUGCGCAUUCGAGAGGACAGACAAUCCCCCUCUUGUCUUCUGCCAUCAUAACCAUGUUAUUGUUUUAGAAACGUCCUACGGCAGCUGAAAGCAAGGCUGGGCACGGGAUAAGUAGCCGUUAAUUUUUCCAUAUUUAUUACUUGGUUUGGCUUUUUUAACUUUUUAAGUAAUCAAAUUUGUUACUUGGACUUGAUUUGUUUAAAACAGGUACUCGACAUAUCAAAUAUUUGUUAAAAUUUUGAUACUUGCUAGUUAGUUGUUUGACUUGUUAUGUUACUUAAUCAAAUCUGUUAUUUAAUUUAAAAUAUUUGAUUAAUUGAAUCUAUUAAACUAAAUUAAGUACGUAAAACUCAUUUUACUCUAAUACACUAUCUAUACUAUUAUUUGAUAAGUGAAUUUGCUUACUUGUCAUGUUUUUCAUGAUUUUAGUUAAUUUGUCUACUUGUCAUCUUUUCCAUGAUUUUAAGAUAAAUCAUUAAUUUAAUUAAUAUUAUUAUUUAAAUUAUUAUUUUAAUAUUUAUAUAUUAUCAUGAUAUUAAGAUAAUUGAUAAAAAUUACCAUAUUCUAUUGAUAUAUGUAUAUAUUCUAUUAUUUAAAAAAUAUUUAAAUAUAUAUUUAUCAUGAUAUUUAAGAUAUUUAAUUAAUAAAUUGAUAUUAAAAAUUGACAUUAACAAUAUCUACCGAUAAUAUCAUCAUUACUUUUAUCUAUAUUUAGUUGAUGAUUUUAAUGACUAAUAUUAUAGUCAGUUUCUCUGACUUUUAUUAGAAAUAUUGAUCAAAUACAUAUUAUUAAAAAAAUUAUAUAUAAGUAUACUAAUAUAUCUGAAUUAAUCGGUUUCUUUGGUUUAUUCGGUUUGAUCGCUUAAUAUACUGAACCAUAUCUAUAUAUUGCGGUUUCUUAAAAAAUAAAAUUCAUUCAAUUUAUUCGGUACUACCAUAUCCAGAUUGUUUUCUCUAUUUCGAUUUGGUUCGAUUUUAAAUGGUUCGGUUUUACCGGAUUGAACACUCCUACACUAUCAUUAUUUUGUUGAUGUUUUAUAGUUGUGAUUUUAUAAAAUCCUUUCAGUGCGAUGUGAUUUCUUUUCAGUCCAAAUACAAUAUAUAUGUGUUUAAUUACAAAUACAAAUUUCUUAAUUUAAUUAUUACUAUAGAAAAUAUUUUGAUCCAAAAUCUACAUCACAUAAAUAAAACUAUGAAACAAAAGAAAAUAAUUUAAUACAUUGAUUAUCAAUAUUAAUAUUGAAGUUUUAUGAUUUAUAAUAAUUUAAAAUUUCUAUCAAAAUUAAUUAUUAUUUUUAUAAAAAUAAACAUCAGAACUAAAAAAUGGUUAAGUAUGUAGAUAUAUUAGUCCACACAAGGUGCGGGGCAUCAACUAGUUUGGCUUUAAUAUUGGAGUAAGGAAUUUAAUUUUUAAAACAAAUAUUUCGGGAUUUGUUUAUAAAGAAACAAUUACUAACAACACCUAUUAAGUAUAAUUAUUAUAUGAAAUAAACGGUUAACAAGUCACUACAAGAAAUAUUGGUUUUGAUAGCAGUAGAGGAUAGCAUUUUUGUCUUUCUGCUAUGGUUGACAUACCCGUUUGUUUUAGAUAGCGUUUGUAUAUUUUGAAACGCUAUGAUAGAGUAGUAUAUUUGGAAACGUUAUGAUAGCGGAUGUUUAAUAGCAAAAUAAUUAAAAUGCUAUGUUUGGUUUAUCUAAUCCCUAAACCCUAAACAAGUUUUUAAACCCUAAACUCCAAGUAUAAACCUUAAAAAUCUUAUAUUCUCAUACUAUAACUUCAAAUCUUGAAUUUUAACUCAAAUUUAUUCUUUUUAAGUUUAAUAUAUAACUUCCAAACACACAAACCUUAAUUCCUCAAUCAAACUCUAUACCCUAAAUCCUAACAUGAAACAUAUAUAAACCAUGCAUCCAAUACAUAUAAAUUUCAAAUCUAAAAUUUUAUUAAUCUAACAAAUUUUAAAUCUAAAUCUUAAUCACAAAUCCUUAUAUAGUAACUAUAACCCUUGUACUUUCAAAAAUUUUAACCCUAAAAUCAUAACAUAAAACACUUUACACAAACUAAUUAUAAAAACCCCAUUAUGCAGUUUUUGAAAAUCAUAUAACCAGAAAAAUCUAAUCAAAAUUUAUAUUUCAUAUGUUAAAUUACAAUAUAUAAUCUUUACAUUUAGGCAAUUUAUAAAACAAUUAAAAAGAAAUCUAAAAACAAUUUUAUUGCUUCUUUUUAUGACCAUUGAUUGAUUCUAAUCUAAGGGCUGAGAUUUUUCUUUUGUCUAUCUCCAACCUUCUCUGUCAUUGGUUAAUUUUUUUUCUCAAAGAUCACGGUUCUUAGCCAUUGAUGCAACGUAAUCCAAAGGCCACAAUUUAGUCUUUCUCUUUCUCACUUAUCUUCUCCUUUACGACUUUUUAUUUUUCUUUCUUCAGCAACAACAUCGACAAUUAAUCCAAUGAGGGCAAAGCAACUGGUUGUUGGACCACCAUGGUAGAAGAGACGACUGCACCGGUCUGAGUUCGUCGCUGUCGUCACCGGUCUCGAACUCGGAGGGAGCAUGGUGGUGCUUAGUAGCGAGGGUGAUUUCUGAAAGGGCGGCGGAGAGUGGAGGCGUGAAGAGUUCGAGGUGGUGAUGAAGUUUUGUCAAAGCAAAGCCCUCGCAACAUCGCAGUGCUCAUCCUCUUGUCCGGUGACGUUUUAAAACUCCUGAAGCAGGUUCGAGUGUUGUGACUCUCUCUCUCAGCAUCUGUGUUUUCUUAAUUUCUGGUAUUGAUUUUUAGGGUUUUCAGAUCUGUUUAUCCAAUGAUUCCUUUUUUUUUUUUGGAAAGCCAAUGUCAGGAUUACACAGGUGAAGUUUGGAUUGUUCUUUUAAGAUGUAUCCUCAGAUUUGAUUAGUGAAUCACGUGUUCUGUUCUGAGACUUUCAUUUGAUUCUUAAGAUGGCAAAGGAAUCUAGCGGUGGUGGUGGAGGUGAAGCCGAGCAAGAAGAAGAAGAGAGGUGGAGAAAGAGAGACGACAAAGACACACAAGGAAGAAGAGGAUACGGCAAGGUGGAUGGGAGAAGACAACACAUGUGGCUGAGAAGAUUAGAUUUAGGUUUAUUUUUUAAUCUGGGUUUAGGGUCUUUUUAAUUUUGGGUUUCGUUUUUGUAAUACAAUUUUAAUUAAUAAAUUAAUUUUAAUUAUAAAUCAAUUUUAAUUUAUAAAUUGCUAUUUCGAUAUAUAUUUUUUAAUUUUUUUUUUAUUAUUUAAUAAGAUAAUAAUAACGAAAAAGAAACGCUAUAAAAAUAUAUUUAAUUGCAUACACAAAAGCGCUAUAAUAUAUAACAAUAAGAUAGCAGUGCAAAAAACCGCUAUCUAAUGUGUCUGACCUACUAUGACGGGCGAUGAUACAGCGCUUCAUAAACCGCUGUCGUAUCGUUAGAUAGGGUUUUUCGUCCGCUAAUAAAAGUCUUUUUUCUUGUAGUGAGUAAACGCGGGAACAAAUUAAUAAUACUUAAUACUUGACUUGUAUAGCGAGUAACAAAUUUUAGAUUGAAUGAAUUGUUAUGAAUAAAUAUCAAUUGACAUUAACAAUAUCUACCGAUAAUAUCAUCAUUACUUUUAUCUAUAUUUAGUUGAUGAUUUUAAUGACUAAUAUUAUAGUCAGUUUCUCUGACUUUUAUUAGAGAUAUUGAUCAAAUACAUAUUAUUAAAAAAAUUAUAUAUAAGUAUACUAAUAUAUCUGAAUUAAUCGGUUUCUUUGGUUUAUUCGGUUUGAUCGCUUAAUAUACUGAACCAUAUCUAUAUAUUGCGGUUUCUUAAAAAAUAACAUUCAUUCAAUUUAUUCGGUACUACCAUAUCCAGUUAAUUUGACAAUACUAAAUAUUUGUUUUCAAGCCGAGAUAAAACAAAUAGCAAAAUUAGACCGAUUAACGAAUAAUUAUGUACAGCCCUAGCUGAAAGGAAAAAGAAGAAAUCAUACCCUCAAUUCCGUGAAGGCUCAAAUAAUGGUUGAACUGCAUGUUCCCUCAGUUCCACGAGAUUUAUAACUUAUUAAACCAAGCAAAGGUCAUAUCAGUUUUCAGUUUUCACUCGACUAGUCACCUAAAGAAGAGUCUAUUUGCAUUGUAUUAAGCUCUUAGCUGCCUCAACAAGACUAUGGACACAAAAAGCGACCAUGAUAUUACCAUACAUGAUCUUCUUUGUUGUUUUUGAUGUUGUUAAAAAAUUAUAAAAUAGGACGAAAUAUAUAAUCAAUAAUGAAAUUAUCUUUUUUUUAAUUGACGUUUUAAACUAAUUUAGCUAUUUCUAUCAAUAUGUUUCAUUUGCUGAUUAAAAUAAUAAAUCACCUCAAUAUUAAAUUUUAAACAUCCACAUCUUUUAUUAGCGAGUAACAAAUUUUAGAUAUGUGAUACUCGACUUGACAACACUAAAUAUCUGUUUUCAAGCCGGGUACAAAACAACUAGCUAAAUUUUACUGAAUAACGAAUAAUUAUGCCCCGUCCGAGCUGAAAGGCAAAAAGAAGGAACCCUACCCUCAACUCCGUGAAGGCUGAUUAAACCAUGCAUAGGUCAUAUCGGUUUUAACUCGACCAGUCCCCUAAAAGAAGAGUCUAUAUACAUUGUAUUAAUAUUUAGCUGCUUCGAGACACAAAAAACAACCAUGAUAUAAUACUACCAUACAUGAUCUUCUUUGUUAUUUUUGAUGUUGUACAAAAAACUAUAAAGUGGGACAAAUCAAUAUGUUUCAUUUUCUGAUUAAAAUGAUAAAUCAUCUUAAAUAUUAAUUUUAAACAUCCACCGAUCUGUGGAAGUCCCUUUAUAGUUUCAUUAAUGUUUCUACACUAGGUACAAAGAAAAAGUUUACAAUGGAAUUUUAACAUAGUACAAGUAAACCCGGUGAGACAUGGGUCUUCAUAGGGCGGUUCUGAUAAUACAGUUAGACGUAAAUUCUUAGUAAUGUCGGUUGUUGAAUCGUUUAUGUGAUCUUUUUCAUAAUUGUAAUAUCCUAAAAAAACAUCCAGAUCUCUUUUAAAAGACAAGUCAGCAUACUUACGAAACACUUUGUUCAGAACUGUAGAUAUUUAAAAUGGAUCCAAAUAUAUUUUGAACUGAGAAAUAUUAUCUUUGUUUCACUUCAAGUCUCUCCAUAGCAAAUAGACAGUGUGACGAACAUAACAAACGGAAUCAUGACAAUCCCCUACCUACAACACAGCCUCCCGUAGAACCAACCAAUCAAAAUCCUCAGAAAGGCUUGGCUUUGUUUUCUAAAAGCAUCUUCCUAAGCUCCGCUGGAUCAAUCUCAUCCGCACAAUUAGAAGGUCUGUAAUAUCCUGUGACUGGAUCUGGAGCCCACGCAGACUCUGCCUCUUGAUUUGCUCUUUGUUCGAGCUUCUCCACGUAACUCUGGUGGAACAUCCCUUACUUAGUAAUCCUGGUGAUGUCGCAACGUAAUUACUCCUAGAAUCCAACAACAAUACGAUAAAUAUUAACAAAAAUAUUUUCACGGUAACAUUUUGUAUGUAGCCAAAAAAUACCUUAAGACAAUGGAACGAGAAACUGUAACGAUCCGAAUUUCGAUCUCGGAACUCGUUAGCCGGCUAAGGCCCAAGCAAUACAUCAAAACUAAAAUGUUUGUUUAUAAAUACCCCAUCUUCACAUUGUUUUCUCCACCUGCAUCAAAAAAAAGAAAUCAGAAAAGUUAGAGAGAAGAAGAAGUGAAAAAGAGAGAGAGUGAAAGAAAAAAAGAUAGGAACCACUGCAUGCUGCCACCAGGAGUCCUCGCCGGAGCCACCGCACGCCAGGACAUCGUCAAGCUCGUCAUCACCAUCAACCUCAGCUGAGAAUCGUCGGAAACCGCCGCCUCUUAAGCUUUGUUUUCGUCCGUUCAGUAUAUCGGCCAUAUCUUCUUAACCGUUGAGAAUCUCGCGCAUGAAGAGCCACCAUCGUGUUCCUCUCGUCGAGACAAAGCCGUAGCCACCGACCACGCCGCAAUCGGAGUCCGGACGAAGCCGCUAGAGCCUCCGGAAGCUUCGCCUCUGUGCGCGCGUGAGUUAUACGCGCCGCUGCCGGAAAUCGUCUCCGCCGCCAGACCACCGCCUCACCACUACCGGAACGCCGUCGCUGUCGCCGUGCUCCGCCUUCUGUCGCCGCCGUCGUCCGCCGUCACCACCGAUUUGGAGUCUAUUUGAGCAUCUGGAGUUCAUAGAUACCACAUUUCCCUAUUACUAAGGUGAGGGCUACUCCGUUAAACCCCGAGCUAGUUUAGUACUACCAUUAUGGAAAGUUUAGUUUCGAAACAUGAUCCGUCUCUGUGAAUCGAGUCUGUUUGAGAGUCUUGCUUGUUCAUUAUUGAUAUUUAUUGUUAACCGGAAUUAGGAUAAUAGAGGAUUCAACGAUUGUGUGAAAUGAUUGAUGCUAAAAACUGCUAUAUAUAUGUAUAUACAUAGUUAUGAGUAGGGAUUAUGUGAUGAGGGCGUGAGUUCAGAGAUGUCUGAGCUUCGACACUACGGUAUGGUAUGGGCGUGAGUUCAGAGACGUUUGAGCUUCGACGCUACUGUUUGGGGCGUGGUGCAGAGACGUUUGCAUUUGACGCUACGAUGGGCGGGGGUACAAAGACAGACUGUACUAGCGACGCUUCGAGUAUAUGUAUAUAUCCUUAUGAGGAGAUGCGUGGUGCAUAGAGUAGCUAUGUACUAUAAGCGCAUGAGUUGUAACGGCUAGUCCUCUAGCCGAAUAUUGAUUGUUAUGUGUGGUGUAAUAGGCACCGUGUUUGUUUCAUGCUAGAGCUAUGCCUACAUUUUAGUAGUGCUAUGAACUCAGUCUGUGGUUUGCGGUUUAGCAUCCCAUACCUCGCUGGGCAACUCCCCUGUUGCUCACCCCUCCUUCUUUCCCCCUUUCAGGUGAGACCGACGAGCAGGAGUGAUUAUCGGACCGGUGCUAUUGGACUUUUGGGCUUCUAUCGCUUUUAUCGUUAUCGGGCUUUUAGGCCUUUGGCUUUUAUCGUUUAUGUUAUUUCCUAUUUCAGACUUACGGAUUUAUGUUGUCUUUAUAUUUCGGACUUAUACCGUUAUCUAUAUUUCGGAUGUUAUUUUAUAUUAUGGAUUUACAGCGUGGACGUUGACUUUUAUAUUUAUAAAUGAAGAUUUCAUAAACUAUUAUUUAUUGAAUUGUUUUUAUUAUUUCGAAAGUGACGGAUGUCACAGUUUUGGUAUCAGAGCGGGGUUCUGUCCCGGCUCCGACCCGGGAUGGCGAUUUUUGGAGACCUGGUUUUAUUCGGUUUUAUUCGGUUUUAUUCGGUUUUGACGGUUUUAGACGAUUUCAAAAUAUUUUCGGGGAUUUGGGGAUUUUGAAAAUGAAAAUAAAUAGCACAUUUCCGUUCGAUAUCACUUCUCCUUAAAUGUUGGUAUCAAAAGUUCAGCGUAUGUUGACUUUUCGCUUUCCUUUCAGAUGCCGCCAAGGAGAAGAACCACUCGUGCCCAGACCGCCAGAGCUGUUAGAGACGAUUUAGAUGAGCAUGAGCAGCCCGCAGUUCCGCCACCCGCGGCUCCACCAGUUGAUCAGGAUGCAUUGAGACAGAUGGUUCAGGAUGCCGCUAGACAGGCCGCUCAGGAGGCACUUCAGCAGAUUGCCCAGGAGGCAGCCAGGCAGGCCGCUCAGGAGGCUGCCCGAGUAGCUGCUCAGGAGGUUGCUCGUCAGAUGGCUGCAGUUCAGCAGGCUCCUCAGGUUCAGGUGCAGCAGGGUCCACAGAUUCAGGUUCAGCAAGUUCCACCGGUUCAGGUCCAGCAGGAUCAGCAGAUUCCCGCUCAGCAUGAUCAUCAGGAUCCCGUUCAGCAGGUUCCCCUUCCUCAGGUUCCACUGCAGCACGGACCAGCUCAGCAGUUUGCUCAUGGUGUUCAGGAUCUACCACCACCACCACCGCGACCUCAUGUUUACCCGGUUUAUGAUGAGAGGUUCUACAGGCUGACGCGUCAGAUGAGGAACAUGGAUAUGGAGCAUUUUAGUGGGACAGUGGAUGCUGUAGCUGCACAUGAUUGGAAGUUAGCCUUGCAGCGGAAGCUGGAGAUUAUUGAGUGUCCACCAGAGUUGUCGCUCAGAUUGACUAUGCAGUACCUUCGUGGAGAUGCUCUUAUAUGGUGGGAGGGAAUACGAUUGAGUCACCUUGGGCCAGAGAGGCUUACCUUCGCAGACUUCAUCCGAGAGUUCGAUAGGAAAUACUUUCCGAAGGAAGCUAUGGAUAGGAAGAAAUGCGAGUUCGAGCAUGUAAGCCAGGGUGAGAUGUCUAUCAGGGAGUAUGAGGUUGUGUUUAACCAACUUCGCAGAUUUGCUAGAGAGGGCAUUUUAGAGGAAGACCUGAUGAGAAAAUUUUUGAAUGGGAUGCGAGUGGAGAUUCGCAACAGGUGCCGUGUCGUCACUUAUCACAGAUUGGGAGAUUUGGUGGAGAAGGCUGCCGAGCAGGAGGCAGGUUUGGCAGAGGAGCAGAAGUACUCCAAGGCAGUUCAGCCUAAGUUUGGAGGGACUUCAGAGGCACAGCAGAGGACAUGGGACAAACCGAGCAUACAGUGCUUUUACUGUGGAAAGAUGGGACAUAAGAGUAGGGUUUGUCGGAGUAGGCUAUUUGAUGCUCAGGUUGCGCCACCAGUCAGACAGAUUGCAGCACCAGCAGCACCAGCAGCGGCACAUGUCUGCUUUGGCUGUGGUCAGCCAGGUCACUUCAUCAGAGAUUGCCCGAGGAGGGGAAAUGCGGCACUUCCACCACCACCGAAGCGUCUAGCCAUCGCUCCAUGUGCGUUUGCGGUUGGAGAUCCCCAUGGAGCUGAGCCGAUAGCGGGUAUGUGUUCUUAACAUACUUGCUUGUGUUAAUAUUUGUGGUUUUGUGGUUAUCUUGUAUAGUUCGAGAUUAGUGAAUGUCGUGUAUGAUUGGUUGUGGUUGGUGUGAGUUACCUCACACCUUAUUUGACUUAAGAGUUUUUCAUAGUUUUGUGAGUUCGCGUUUGGUUAAGUUUUAGUUUUUUUUGGGGGAUCUUCUAACCGAAAUAUAAGCAAAUUCAGAUUGUUGUUAUGGAGAGCAUGGGAACGAUCAAGAUUCAUCGCGAUAUACAUGUUAUCAUUUGAGUAUUAUGAUAGUAUCGUCGAGGUUUUUAUGGUGGGUCUAGUCGUACACCACUUUGUUGGACCAAAGUGGGGGAGAGACGUGAGAUGGAAUCAGCAAUGAUUCAAGAGACGGUAGAGCAAAUGGAAAUGCUCGAAGCUUAGGUUAGGAAGCCCAUGACCGUCAGAAGAGUUACGUGGAUAAGCGCCGUAAGGAUUUGGAUUUUGAAGUUGGCGACCUAAUAAAUCUGAAGGAGGAUGUUUCAAAAAGAAUCAAAGACUCGGAAUCUAAAGAAGCUUAACCAAAAUAUAUGGGAACAUAUCUCUUUAUUGGUCAGCAAGUGAAAUCAGUCUAGGGAGUGGUGACCAUGUAUCUAGUGACCAUGUUGGUCAAGGUUCGUUGGGAGGAAUAGGAUUCAAGAGGAGACCUGAGCCGAGCAAGGAUUAUUAUUCGAGGUUUUGUUACGAUGACAUUGGACAUGUCAGAUUAUGACUUGAAUUCGGGGACGAAUUCCUUAUAAGUGGGGGAGAAUUGUAACGAUCCGAAUUUCGAUCUCGGAACUCGUUAGCCGGCUAAGGCCCAAGCAAUACAUCAAAACUAAAAUGUUUGUUUAUAAAUACCCCAUCUUCACAUUGUUUUCUCCACCUGCAUCAAAAAAAAGAAAUCAGAAAAGUUAGAGAGAAGAAGAAGUGAAAAAGAGAGAGAGUGAAAGAAAAAAGAUAGGAACCACUGCAUGCUGCCACCAGGAGUCCUCGCCGGAGCCACCGCACGCCAGGACAUCGUCAAGCUCGUCAUCACCAUCAACCUCAGCUGAGAAUCGUCGGAAACCGCCGCCUCUUAAGCUUUGUUUUCGUCCGUUCAGUAUAUCGGCCAUAUCUUCUUAACCGUUGAGAAUCUCGCGCAUGCAGAGCCACCAUCGUGUUCCUCUCGUCGAGACGAAGCCGUAGCCACCGACCACGCCGCAAUCGGAGUCCGGACGAAGCCGCUAGAGCCUCCGGAAGUUUCGCCUCUGUGCGCGCGUGAGUUAUACGCGCCGCCGCCAGAAAUCGUCUCCGCCGCCAGACCACCGCCUCACCACCACCGGAACGCCGUCGCUGUCGCCGUGCUCCGCCUUCUGUCGCCGCCGUCGUCCGCCGUCACCACCGAUUUGGAGUCUAUUUGAGCAUCUGGAGUUCAUAGAUACCACAUUUCCCUAUUACUAAGGUGAGACCAACGAGCAGGAGUGAUUAUCGGACCGGUGCUAUUGGACUUUUGGGCUUCUAUCGCUUUUAUCAUUAUCGGGCUUUUAGGCCUUUGGACUUUUAUCGUUUAUGUUAUUUCCUAUUUCAGACUUACGGAUUUAUGUUGUCUUUAUAUUUCGGACUUAUACCGUUAUCUAUAUUUCGGAUGUUGUUUUAUAUUAUGGAUUUACAGCGUGGACGUUGACUUUUAUAUUUAUAAAUGAAGAUUUCAUAAACUAUUAUUUAUUGAAUUGUUUUUAUUAUUUCGAAAGUGACGGAUGUCACAGAAACACUGCCGGAUGCGGUGGAGAAAGAGAUUUAACGGCGCCGGGGAGCGAACGAGCUGCCAUUUUAUUAUUUCGAUAUUCGAAUACUUGUGAUGUAAUAGGGUAUGUAUGCUGACCGAGAGCUUAGCUUUUAGCUACCGCAAAAGACGUUAUGUUCUUCCAGAGUAAACAGAUAAACAAUCCUUUUGCAGUAGCCGUCGGUGCUAAGCCGCCGUCAGAAUCUCCGGUGAUGAUUUUGUAGGAGUCUUUAUUAGGGUUUAUGGUGUUUAUAUACACAACGGCCCAUGAAUUUUCUCAUAAUUGUUGCCAAAGUUUACUGCGGUGGUAGACUGAAAUGUACGUUUACAAGAAAGAACAUCCUAUGCUGUCUUAUUUGUAUUGAAAUAAUGCAACACAUGAAAGAGUGUCUCCCAUAAUUUGAUCUCUGCAAUAAAAGUUGUAAUAUGUAA
Brassica rapa (field mustard) is the source of this 14263-nucleotide RNA transcript. RefSeq lists it as uncharacterized. NCBI's taxonomy places the organism in Eukaryota, Viridiplantae, Streptophyta, Magnoliopsida, Brassicales, Brassicaceae. The record is from RefSeq and is a predicted model, not a curated record.